GACGAACGCUGGCGGCGUGCUUAACACAUGCAAGUCGAACGGAAAGGCCUGCUUUCCCUUGUGGAUUGCGGGUGCUCGAGUGGCGAACGGGCGAGUAACACGUGAGUGAUCUGCCCCCAACUUGGGUAUAAGCCUGGGAAACUGGGUCUAAUUCCCGAUAGGACUGCAGGGUGGUGCCUGUGGUGGAAAACGAUUUUCUAGUGGUUGGGGAUGAGCUCGCGGCCUAUCAGCUUGUUGGUGGGGUAAUGGCCUACCAAGGCGGCGACGGGUAGCCGGCCUGAGAGGGUGGACGGCCACAUUGGGACUGAGAUACGGCCCAGACUCCUACGGGAGGCAGCAGUGGGGAAUAUUGCACAAUGGGCGGAAGCCUGAUGCAGCGACGCCGCGUGGGGGAUGACGGCCUUCGGGUUGUAAACUCCUUUCGACCGCGAGGAAGCCACCUGGUUGGAAGGGUGGUGACGGUAGUGGUAGAAGAAGCACCGGCUAACUACGUG
This 494-nucleotide ribosomal RNA is filed under the name uncultured bacterium. Its description in RNAcentral is "partial 16S ribosomal RNA". It matches the Rfam family "Bacterial small subunit ribosomal RNA", at positions 28 to 507 of the family's 1533-position model. The record is from RNAcentral.